Molecule: long non-coding RNA, 339 nt
Filed under: Carica papaya (papaya)
Lineage: Eukaryota; Viridiplantae; Streptophyta; Magnoliopsida; Brassicales; Caricaceae
Description: long non-coding RNA (CPAP_LNC007500)
Source: RNAcentral
GGCUGUUUUACAGUUUUAAACGUAGCAUGAGGUUCGAUGUUUUCAUUUUAUAGUUUCGUGUGCAUGUUUUACUGUUUUAUUGAUUAUGGAUUAAAUGACCGGAAUAUUGAUGCUGUAUGUUGUCUGUUUAGCAUAAGUUAUCGUUUUGCUUGCUUGUAUGUGGAUUAAUGAUGCUGAUUGAGGAAAAAGAGAACGAACAAUUAUGUAAAUGGAUAAUGGAAUAAUGUGAUCAGCCUGACUAGAUAUCCUGAGAGAUGGUGGACGGACCGGGUCCGUAGGGGACCCUACCGGGAUUGUGGUCUCCCAUACCGGACGGGGUAUGGAGAUCUUAUGUGUUUU